This 72-nucleotide transfer RNA is filed under the name Marmota marmota marmota (Alpine marmot). It matches the Rfam family "tRNA". Rfam says of the family: Transfer RNA (tRNA) molecules are approximately 80 nucleotides in length. Their secondary structure includes four short double-helical elements and three loops (D, anti-codon, and T loops). Lineage: Eukaryota; Metazoa; Chordata; Mammalia; Rodentia; Sciuridae. RNAcentral also lists the same sequence under 1 other name. The record is from Rfam by way of RNAcentral.
AGAGCUGUAGCUCAGUGGUAGAGGACUUGCCUAGCAUGCAUGAGACCCUGGGUUCCAUCCCCAGCACCACAA